Molecule: RNA transcript, 849 nt
Organism: Manihot esculenta (cassava)
Lineage: Eukaryota; Viridiplantae; Streptophyta; Magnoliopsida; Malpighiales; Euphorbiaceae
Exons: 5
Source: RefSeq, a predicted model, not a curated record
GGCUUGAUCACAGAAAUAUCUAAUGGCCUAAGACUCUCCAAACUCAAAAGCGGAACUCUGAAGAAUUUAUCGAACAAGAUUUGAAGGAUUAUGGCCUUUGCAUCGAUGGCCGCAGUGGCAGCAACAGCGACUGCAAGGCCAUCCUCAAUUACGCUAUUAACAAGAAGAAGACCCAGAUCGAUUUUUGUUCCGCUGGCUUUUUCUUCUUUUUCUUCUUCGCUGAAAACGAGGAAGUUGGUUCUGUACUCGAAGCCCGGAUGCUGUUUGUGUGAUGGUCUCAAAGAGAAGCUUCAGGCUGCCUUCUUGCUUUCUGGUCCACAUUCUCUUCACGACGUCGAUUUGCAGGUGAGGGAUAUUACAAGCAAUCCUGAGUGGGAAAGAGCUUAUCAGUACGAGAUACCUGUGUUGGCUAAAGUACUCUCUGAUGGCACUGAGGCUUGCUCUAUUUCCUCUUCCCAUCAAUAGGACAUGCACAUACAUAUACUCAUGUCUGUCUGAUCCUGAUUCAAGUGCCAUUUGACAAAACAAAGGCUGGGUUCUCGCAAGCCAAAUAAUUUGCACUUCAUUAUUGCAAUCAAAUCAAACCCAAUUGUUGGACACCUAACUAGAACAUAUACGUAGUAGGAAACGCUUCCUAGACUAUCACCUCGACUUGGAGUGGAGCUCAUCCAUAAAAAGAUAGUUGCUGCUUUGUCACAAUAAGGGUCUCUGUUGCUAUGAUCCUAGCAUAAGUUGUGCAACUUGUAAUUUGAAGAACUCCAUUGAAAAGGAUGCUACAUAUGAAUUACAGUUAAUCUCGAAGUGAAUUCUGGGAAUGAAAAUAUUUAUGAAUGAACUUAAAAAAACUAA